This 301-nucleotide ribosomal RNA is filed under the name uncultured bacterium. RNAcentral's name for it is "partial 16S ribosomal RNA". It matches the Rfam family "Bacterial small subunit ribosomal RNA", at positions 509 to 807 of the family's 1533-position model. The record is from RNAcentral.
CAGCAGCCGCGGGAAUACAGAGGGUGCGAGCGCUAAUCGGAUUUACUGGGCGUAAAGCGUGCGUAGGCGGCUUCUUAAGUCGGAUGUGAAAUCCCUGAGCUUAACUUAGGAAUUGCAUUCGAUACUGGGAAGCUAGAGUAUGGGAGAGGAUGGUAGAAUUCCAGGUGUAGCGGUGAAAUGCGUAGAGAUCUGGAGGAAUACCGAUGGCGAAGGCAGCCAUCUGGCCUAAUACUGACGCUGAGGUACGAAAGCAUGGGGAGCAAACAGGAUUAGAUACCCCAGUAGUCCCUGUCUCUUAUAC